GGUAUUUUGACUAUACAAAGGUAUUGAAAUAAGACUUUAAUUGAGUGCUAAGAGAAUGGAAUUACAAAAAAUUUCUUUCUUAAAUUUAAAUAUUGAAGUUAUUUUUAUUUGUGAAGAAACAAUAAUAAUAAUUAAGGACAAGAAGACCCUAAGAAUUUUCAAAAAUGGUAAUCAAUUUUUGAAUUACUAUUUUUUUAAUUGGGGCGAUUAAUAAAUAUUAAAAACUUUAUUUUUAUUUAAAAUGAACCAAUAUUAGUGGCAAAAUGAAAAAAAUACUCUAGGGAUAACAGCGUAAUAAUUUUUGAUAGUUCUUAUAGACAAAAUAGUUUGCGACCUCGAUGUUGGAUUAGGAUACUUUUUUAAUGAAGAAGUUAAAAAAAGGAGUU
Molecule: ribosomal RNA, 386 nt
Filed under: Amblyomma incisum
Lineage: Eukaryota; Metazoa; Arthropoda; Arachnida; Ixodida; Ixodidae
Description: partial 16S ribosomal RNA
Source: RNAcentral